AUUGAACGCUGGCGGCAGGCCUAACACAUGCAAGUCGAGCGGAUGAAGGGAGCUUGCUCCUGGAUUCAGCGGCGGACGGGUGGGUAAUGCCUAGGAAUCUGCCUGGUAGUGGGGGAUAACGUCCGGAAACGGGCGCUAAUACCGCAUACGUCCCGAGGGAGAAAGUGGGGGAUCUUCGGACCUCACGCUAUCAGAUGAGCCUAGGUCGGAUUAGCUAGUUGGUGGGGUAAAGGCCUACCAAGGCGACGAUCCGUAACUGGUCUGAGAGGAUGAUCAGUCACACUGGAACUGAGACACGGUCCAGACUCCUACGGGAGGCAGCAGUGGGGAAUAUUGGACAAUGGGCGAAAGCCUGAUCCAGCCAUGCCGCGUGUGUGAAGAAGGUCUUCGGAUUGUAAAGCACUUUAAGUUGGGAGGAAGGGCAGUAAGUUAAUACCUUGCUGUUUUGACGUUACCAACAGAAUAAGCACCGGCUAACUUCGUG
Molecule: ribosomal RNA, 484 nt
Filed under: uncultured bacterium
Lineage: Bacteria
Description: partial 16S ribosomal RNA
Rfam family: Bacterial small subunit ribosomal RNA
Source: RNAcentral